UGAGGAAUGUGGAGAGUGGGCGCAAGCCUGAUCCAGCAAUGCCGCGUGCAGGAAGAAGGCCUUCGGGUUGUAAACUGCUUUUGUACGGAACGAAAAGGCUCUGGCUAAUACCUGGAGCUCAUGACGGUACCGUAAGAAUAAGCACCGGCUAACUACGUG
RNAcentral lists this ribosomal RNA (159 nucleotides) under uncultured beta proteobacterium. Its description in RNAcentral is "partial 16S ribosomal RNA". It matches the Rfam family "Bacterial small subunit ribosomal RNA", at positions 355 to 507 of the family's 1533-position model. The record is from RNAcentral. Lineage: Bacteria; Pseudomonadati; Pseudomonadota; Betaproteobacteria.